Molecule: ribosomal RNA, 497 nt
Filed under: uncultured bacterium
Lineage: Bacteria
Description: partial 16S ribosomal RNA
Rfam family: Bacterial small subunit ribosomal RNA
Source: RNAcentral
GAUGAACGCUGGCGGCGUGCCUAAUACAUGCAAGUCGAGCGAACAGACGAGGAGCUUGCUCCUCUGACGUUAGCGGCGGACGGGUGAGUAACACGUGGAUAACCUACCUAUAAGACUGGGAUAACUUCGGGAAACCGGAGCUAAUACCGGAUAAUAUAUUGAACCGCAUGGUUCAAUAGUGAAAGACGGUUUUGCUGUCACUUAUAGCUGGAUCCGCGCCGCAUUAGCUAGUUGGUAAGGUAACGGCUUACCAAGGCAACGAUGCGUAGCCGACCUGAGAGGGUGAUCGGCCACACUGGAACUGAGACACGGUCCAGACUCCUACGGGAGGCAGCAGUAGGGAAUCUUCCGCAAUGGGCGAAAGCGUGACGGAGCAACGCCGCGUGAGUGAUGAAGGUCUUCGGAUCGUAAAACUCUGUUAUUAGGGAAGAACAAAUGUGUAAGUAACUAUGCACGUCUUGACGGUACCUAAUCAGAAAGCCACGGCUAACUACGUG